AUGAGGGGCUUGCUUAAGGCCAUAGAGAGAGCGAUGAAGACGGCUGACCAUGCCGUUAGGAACAAAAUACCUAGGUGGUGCCUGCAUGUAAAUCUCCUCGUACAAUUCACCAUUAAGAAAGGCAUUCUCCUCAUACAAUUCACCAUUAAGAAAGGCAUUCUUAAAAUCAAGCUGAGACACAUACCAGUGGCGAACAGAGGCCACAACAAGAAGUGGUCAUAUGGGCCACAGGAGCAGAAGUCUCGUCAUAAUCACUGUCGUGGUAUUUGCACGGCAGAUGCCAUGGGAUGGCUAAGAGAGGUGGGAGCAAGGCUACGAUGGAGAUCCGGGACUAGAUUGUGCAACAACACACGGUGA
RNAcentral lists this ribosomal RNA (357 nucleotides) under Triticum aestivum (bread wheat). Its description in RNAcentral is "partial small subunit ribosomal RNA". Lineage: Eukaryota; Viridiplantae; Streptophyta; Magnoliopsida; Poales; Poaceae. The record is from RNAcentral.